GGGUGUAGCGCAAUGGUAGAGUACCGGUCUCCAAAACCGUAGGUUGCAGGUUCGAGUCCUGUCACCC
This 67-nucleotide transfer RNA is filed under the name bovine gut metagenome. It matches the Rfam family "tRNA". Rfam says of the family: Transfer RNA (tRNA) molecules are approximately 80 nucleotides in length. Their secondary structure includes four short double-helical elements and three loops (D, anti-codon, and T loops). The record is from RNAcentral.